RNAcentral lists this long non-coding RNA (555 nucleotides) under Lynx pardinus (Iberian lynx). The record is from RNAcentral. Lineage: Eukaryota; Metazoa; Chordata; Mammalia; Carnivora; Felidae.
CUAGGAGCUGUGGAUGGUUUCAGGGGAGGUGGGGAGGGGCAGAUGUGACCUGUGGCCAGGACACUGCGCGUAACGCUUCUUUGCUUUGGCAGGUUGAAGGGAAGCCAGUGUGACUCGGAGGUGUGGCCAGACAGCAGCGAUGACCGGGACUCACUGUCCCAGAAGGGACUUUAUCGGGAAGCGAGAGCCAGAGGCACAGCCACCGGUCUUCGUACCGUGUCCCCUGUAAGUGGUUCUUGGGGUGGGUGAUGUGAGGCUCUCUGGCCCUGCCGCUUGACCCCGCUGGUGGGUUCUCCUUCCCUGGUCUGCCCUCCUGUAACCCCAGUGGGGGCCGGGGGUGGGCAGCAUUCUGCAGGGCUCUCCUGCAGCCAGCUCUUUUCUCCCGUUUGUUCCAGCAGGCGCGUCACCGGGGAGGCUGAGGUGCAGCAACUCGAAUUGCUCUCGGAGGACAGGUGUGUGGCGGCAGGCACCGCACCGCAGCCAGGACGCCCCCCUCAACAGGAGCAGGACACGGAAGUCGGAUUUGAAUAAAGGGCUGGUGUGUCCACACAAAUC